RNAcentral lists this unclassified non-coding RNA (677 nucleotides) under uncultured Prochlorococcus sp. RNAcentral's name for it is "partial may contain 16S ribosomal RNA, 16S-23S ribosomal RNA intergenic spacer, and 23S ribosomal RNA". The stretch from base 1 to 97 matches the Rfam family "Bacterial small subunit ribosomal RNA", at positions 1437 to 1533 of the family's 1533-position model. The record is from RNAcentral. Lineage: Bacteria; Bacillati; Cyanobacteriota; Cyanophyceae; Synechococcales; Prochlorococcaceae.
ACCCUUGUGGAGGAGGACGCCGAAGGUGGGGCUAAUGACUGGGGUGAAGUCGUAACAAGGUAGCCGUACCGGAAGGUGCGGCUGGAUCACCUCCUAACAGGGAGACAACAAAAUGUUUAAUAUUAUUAUUUUGUCACCUUAGGUCGAUCGGUAUCUCACGUUCUUAAUUUGUUAAGAAUUUCAUUUCCUAAGUUUUUCUAGGUCACACCCAUUAUUUUCCUGGGCCAUUAGCUCAGGUGGUUAGAGCGCACCCCUGAUAAGGGUGAGGUCCCUGGUUCAAGUCCAGGAUGGCCCAUAUCUCUAUGUUGGGGGUAUAGCUCAGUUGGUAGAGCGCCUGCUUUGCAAGCAGGAUGUCAGCGGUUCGAGUCCGCUUACCUCCACUGAUUACCACCUCUUCCAUAACCGGUAGAAAGGAAAUGUUUUGAGUUGUGAUCAUUAUUCUGAACGAAUCUAGCUUCCUAAUGAAAUCAUUAAGAUGCUGGACUCAUUGAAUUAAUUUCAUUGUUUUCAGAGAACCUUGACAACUGCAUAGAUUUUUUUAAAGACAAUAAGCAUCUUUAAUGAUGCAGAUUUAUUAUUUGUGCGAAUGCAUUAAUAACAAUUCUAUUAAGCUGAUGCUUCAAUUUUGAAGUUAUUGGUCAAGCUACAAAGGGCUCACGGAGGAUACCUAGGCACAC